UCCGGUUUGUCACCGGCAGUCUCGCAUGAGUCCCCAACUAAAUGCUGGCAACAUGCAACGGGGGUUGCGCUCGUUGCGGGACUUAACCCAACACCUCACGACACGAGCUGACGACAGCCAUGCACCACCUGUGAAAGUGUCCCGAAGGAAAACUGUGUUUCCACAGCUGUCACUUACAUGUCAAGCCCAGGUAAGGUUCUUCGCGUUGCAUCGAAUUAAACCACAUGCUCCACCGCUUGUGCGGGCCCCCGUCAAUUCCUUUGAGUUUUAAUCUUGCGACCGUACUCCCCAGGCGGGGUGCUUAAAGCGUUAGCUGCGCCACAGGGGGAUUUAACACCCCCCACAGCAAGUAUCCAUCGUUUACAGCUAGGACUAC
RNAcentral lists this unclassified non-coding RNA (376 nucleotides) under uncultured bacterium. Its description in RNAcentral is "contains 16S-23S intergenic spacer region". The record is from RNAcentral.